RNAcentral lists this ribosomal RNA (492 nucleotides) under uncultured bacterium. RNAcentral's name for it is "partial 16S ribosomal RNA". It matches the Rfam family "Bacterial small subunit ribosomal RNA", at positions 29 to 507 of the family's 1533-position model. The record is from RNAcentral.
AGUGAACGCUGGCGGUAUGCCUAACACAUGCAAGUCGAACGGCAGCACAGUAAGAGCUUGCUCUUACGGGUGGCGAGUGGCGGACGGGUGAGGAAUACAUCGGAAUCUACUUUUUCGUGGGGGAUAACGUAGGGAAACUUACGCUAAUACCGCAUACGACCUACGGGUGAAAGCAGGGGAUCUUCGGACCUUGCGCGAUUGAAUGAGCCGAUGUCGGAUUAGCUAGUUGGCGGGGUAAAGGCCCACCAAGGCGACGAUCCGUAGCUGGUCUGAGAGGAUGAUCAGCCACACUGGAACUGAGACACGGUCCAGACUCCUACGGGAGGCAGCAGUGGGGAAUAUUGGACAAUGGGCGCAAGCCUGAUCCAGCCAUACCGCGUGGGUGAAGAAGGACUUCGGGUUGUAAAGCCCUUUUGUUGGGAAAGAAAAGCAGCAGGUUAAUACCCCGCUGUUCUGACGGUACCCAAAGAAUAAGCACCGGCUAACUUCGUG